GACGAACGCGGCGGCGUGCUUAACACAUGCAAGUCGAACGGAGCGAAUGAAAGCUUGCUUUUAUAAGCUUAGUGGCAAACGGGUGAGUAACACGUAGGCAACCUGCCGACAGGAUGGGGACAACAUUCCGAAAGGAAUGCUAAUACCGAAUGAAGCGCAGGAGAGGCAUCUCUCCUGCGUGAAAGAUGGCCUCUAUUUAUAAGCUAUCACCUGUCGAUGGGCCUGCGUCUGAUUAGCUGGUAGGUGAGGUAACGGCUCACCUGGGCGACGAUCAGUAGCCGGUCUGAGAGGAUGAACGGCCACAUUGGGACUGAGACACGGCCCAGACUCCUACGGGAGGCAGCAGUGGGGAAUCUUCCGCAAUGGGCGCAAGCCUGACGGAGCAAACGCCCGCGUGAGUGAAAGAAAGGUCUUUCGGAUCGUAAAAGCUCUGGUGAAUGGGGAACGAAACCGUGCCUAA
Molecule: ribosomal RNA, 460 nt
Filed under: Centipeda noxia
Lineage: Bacteria; Bacillati; Bacillota; Negativicutes; Selenomonadales; Selenomonadaceae
Description: bacterial SSU rRNA
Rfam family: Bacterial small subunit ribosomal RNA
Source: RNAcentral